GCAAGUCGAACGAGGUGCUUUUGUAGCAAUACGAAGGUGUCCUAGUGGCGAACGGGUGAGUAACGCGUUGGUGACCUACCCCAAAGUGUGGGAUAACAGUUCGAAAGAACUGCUAAUACCGCAUGUGGUUAUCGGGUUUAGAAACUGAUAACUAAAGGAGCAAUUCGCUUUGGGAGGGACCUGCGUCCCAUCAGCUAGUUGGUGAGGUAACGGCUCACCAAGGCGACGACGGGUAGGGGACCUGAGAGGGUGGCCCCCCACAAUGGAACUGAAACACGGUCCAUACACCUACGGGUGGCAGCAGUAGGGAAUAUUGCACAAUGGGCGAAAGCCUGAUGCAGCAACGCCGCGUGUGCGAUGAAGGCCUUCGGGUCGUAAAGCACUUUUCUGAGAGAUGAGAAAGGACAGUAUCUCAGGAAUAAGUCUCGGCUAACUACGUGCCAGCAGCCGCGGUAAAACGUAGGAGGCGAGCGUUAUCCGGAUUCACUGGGCGUAAAGCGCGUGCAGGCGGUUCGGUAAGUUGGGUAUGAAAUCUCCUGGCUUAACUAGGAGAGGUUAUCCAAUACUACCGGACUUGAGAGUGGUAGAGGAAGAUGGAAUUCCAGGUGUAGUGGUGAAAUGCGUAGAUAUCUGGAGGAACACCAGUGGCGAAAGCGAUCUUCUGGACCAUUUCUGACGCUCAGACGCGAAAGCUAGGGUAGUAAACGGGAUUAGAGACCCCGGUAAUCCUAGCCGUAAACGAUGUAAACUUGGCGUUGGUGGCUUAAACUCCAUCAGUGCCGCAGCAAACGCGAUAAGUUUACCGCC
This 807-nucleotide ribosomal RNA is filed under the name uncultured bacterium. Its description in RNAcentral is "bacterial SSU rRNA". It matches the Rfam family "Bacterial small subunit ribosomal RNA", at positions 57 to 873 of the family's 1533-position model. The record is from RNAcentral.